Molecule: long non-coding RNA, 5423 nt
Organism: Triticum dicoccoides
Lineage: Eukaryota; Viridiplantae; Streptophyta; Magnoliopsida; Poales; Poaceae
Exons: 8
Source: RefSeq, a predicted model, not a curated record
CCGACCCCUCCCGAAUAAGUAGAUCACCGCUACGGAGGCGAUCUUGUGGUUCGGCCGAGCCAACCAAACCCUAAGAAUGGCGCAGGACGAGGCGUCGAGAUCCAGGUCGAGGGCGGCGGCGGCGGCGGCGGCGGGCCGGCGAUCUCGACGCUGGGAUGGCCUCUGGGCAAUUGGGGCAUGGUGGUGUGCGGCGUCUGCCUAGGUCUUGGGCGGCUCUGUGCCCGGAGCUGUGGCCGGUGAUCGCGGCGGCGCUGCAGUGGGUGGCCGUGCAUGGGCUGCUACGUGACGUGACGGCAUCGCUGCUGUUCGAAUUGAAGUUUGGUUGUGUGUGAGUGCACCGGGAGGAGCUGGUACCCAGCGAACUAUCACUUUUGUUAAAGCAGGGAUCGAGCCUUUUGUCAAAGAAGAAAUAUAUACUCCAUUUUUCCCACUGUGGUGGGUGGUCGUCGAUUCACAGUAGGCCGACCAGUCAUGCAACAGCGCUGGUGAGUCCUGGCAUCAGGUUUCGUUGACCGUUGGCUUGCUUGUUGAUGUGGACUACAUCUCCUACCAGCAAGACGGUCGGUAACCAGGUCUUCGACAAUGGAGCUCUCCAGUAUCGCCCCCUCUCCAUAAAUUUGCAGGAGAGAAGAGGAGAAGCGGACAAUGCUAAUGCAGUGGGCCGAGGCUGAGGCCCAAUCACCACCCUCUUCUCCCCGCUGACCUCAGGUCCAAGCUACCGACGUGGGAUCCAGGCCGCUGCCGCCGUCACCCUGAAAAAGCGAGGUGACUGGACGACAACGACCAAAACGAUGCCCAGAAGUGCAAGGCGGCUGGACGACAGCGACCAUGAUGAUGCAUGAUAAGGUGAGCCAGAGGAAGCUGCAUGACGAUGAGCACGGCGAUCCGUCGUCCUCGACCGCGGCUGGUUCCCUCAGACAGCGGGUGGCGGCGGAUCCAGUCAUGCUCCUCGAGCUUUCCGUCGUCGUGCUACCGAGGGCAUCUUCACCCACAUCUCCUCACGCCGGGUUGCCAGCACGUGGUGUGGUGGAUUUGGUUUUUAGAAUUUGUUUCACAGCUAUUUAACUGAAAUGAUGAGCUCCCAAUCAAGCCAGGCUCCAGGAAAAGAUAACAAGUGGUACAAGGCUGGCCAUGUGAGCCAGUAGGACUACAAGUCUACAAGGAUCUACAGUACUGACAUGGCACAGUCUACGUAAGGGGGUGCCUCAGUUUGGUCUGCCGUAGGCCUUCAUCGCUAUUUUGAAUCACAUGCUCCUUUUAGUCGGAGGUGAGGUGCUCAGAUUUGGAAAAUUGGUUACUCUUGUUUUGUUCACUUCCUAACUUGCAAUGAACAAAACAGUCUCUGCAAUAUUUUGUUUUUGUUAUCUUCAUUAUAUGAGCACAAAUAUGUCUAUCAUAAGAUAUGCUAGAGUUGACAACCGGAACUAGCCACUUAAGCAUUAACAUUGUAUAGGCAGUAUAUACAUUAAAACAAUCAAUGGCGGUGCUAAUUUCGGCUUUUUUUAUUUCUGGAGUCAAGAAAUAAACUUUAUUUAAAAUGUUUAUAUAUUCAUCUGAAUUGGAAACAAUCUUGCUGCACCAUUGAAGUUAUCUAAUGAGGGAUACUUCUUUUCUAUUUUAGCGUAUCAAUGGCCCCAGGAACUCGAGUGAGGAACACAUCAUGCCCCUUCAAACUGACAUAUCAAUAUUAUCAUCAUGUAUCGAAGAUACUAGGCACCAUAUGACUUUCUGAUAUAUGUAUAUUCUUAUGCUUAGAAGUUUCCCACUUUAAAAUUAGAUUUAACUCACCAUAUAUAAUGCACUCAAUCCAAUCGAAAAGAUUAAGUAGCAAUUUUCCCAAAACAAUUGUGUUUACACUUGUUCUCCUACUGUUUAGAGGUUGGUUUAGUUUUACCCUGUCAAAACAAAAUCAAAUAUACUUCUCCAAAACUGGUCUAGCUUAUCACAUUGCGAAGAUCCACACUGUUGCAGUUCCCUUUGUAAACAUGUACUUUCAGUGCUGGUGAUAUUUUUAUCACAUCAUGCAAUUUAGAUAAGGCCUGAAAACAGCCUCUGACAGAACUGUAGGGAAAGGCUGCGUACAAUAGACCCAAAGUGGUCGGACCCUUCCGUGGACCCUGUGCAAGUGGGAGCUACAUGCACCAGACUGCCCUUUUUUUUAUGCAAUUUAGAUAAGAAAUACAAAGAAGAAAUAACUAGGUCAUAUCAAGGGUGGUUUCACUCUAAAUAUGACUAAUCUAUACCUACUAUUAAAGGGAGGUGAUAUUCUUGGUUUGGUCCCGCUUCAAUUAAUUUCACGUACGUUAUUUGGUUUCGUUACUUGCCACCCUUUUUGUCCCAACGGAGGAAGCCCAACCAGCGGUGCACUGUGGCCCAAGUCCGGAGAACUGGCAAAAAAAUAAAAUUGCCGAUGGGAGGGUUCGAGGAUUUUUCUUCUUCCAUUGCAACGCAUGAGCCUUUUUCUAGUAAACAAAAGUCAUUUAGAGCUUCAAAUGUAGGAAUUAUAUAUGAUCUAUUGGAUUUGUAACUUCCUAACAAUUAGAAUAGAACACUUACUCAGCAAAGCAAAUUAUGAUAUAUUGGUUCGUUUUUCAAAGCAAUCAUGACAAUAAAGUGGACGUGGAUAGAAAAACAAGGCCUACCAGGAGAAGAAAGGUGAGGAGGAAGAAAUGCACAAGAGAUUUGGUUGCACACAUAAACACUCUCGGUAGUUAGCGACUUGAAUCUUCGAGGUAUACCUGUAUGAUAAUUUAUACUCCCUCCAUUCAGAAUUACCUGUCGUUCAACAUUAUUUGCAGGAGUGUGUGCCCAUUUAUCCUCCGAACAUUAUUUUCUCAAGAAAUGAAGCUUGUGAAUUGUGAAAUUGAAAAAAGUUGGUUUUUUUACGCAUAAGUCUGAAUCUUUAUUGACUUUGUGGCUUUUUUGCUAUGGUUAUUUUUUUUUGUUACUACUAGCUACUUCUAAUGUAGACUAUUGGCUUGCAUCCCCUUCAUUACUGAUAAAAAUUCCCAUCUACAAACUAGCUUGUACUAUUAUUAAUUAUAUUCCUUUAAAUAAAUUUUUUUUUUACAAAUUUUGUCAUGGAGGUAAAUUAUCAUAUCAACUUUAGGAGGAGAAACCGGAAGUUUAAGGUUCUGUUUGUUCUUGUAGAAUUUUCUCAUUAUGAAUAUUUACAUAAUUUUACUAGUCUAUGUUCUCAUAGGUUUACUAAUUCAUUCGGAUUCGAAAAUUAUGGUUUGUAAAACCUUUGUGUUUUCUAGUCCUUUUUAGUGUAUAGAAGUAUGGUGUGUAAAACCUUUCAAAAAUUCGGAUUCAAAACACUGGGUUCAGCAUGGACAUGCAUGGAUAUGGGGAAGCUUAUGUACCUAUUUAUGUUUUUAUCAAGUAACUUCAUGCAUUAGUGUCAGUUACCAUCACUCUCACUUCAUGUAUCCUUCAGAUUCAGCUACAGAUAGAAGAGCCUUGGUAGGAAUAGGCAUACAUUAAAAUCAUGAAACUUUCUGGAGAAAAUACAGAAGCAUUCAUCAUAUAUAAUGAAGGCCUAAUAAAUAUCCAAAACGUCGCAAUAUAUGUCUCACGAUAUCUGAACCCAUCUUCGUUUCAUGUUUUUUAGCUGCAUCUUUGUUUCCUAGCAAUAUAUGAACCUAUGUUCACUUGGUAAUUGAACAAAACUGAUAUCUUGGUUAAAAAUACUACAGCGCGAGGUAGCUCUCAUUGACAAUUUAGUUUAAUUGAUACAUGCCUCAAUGAACCAUGUAACCUUCAGUAUUAACGGUACAUGCCUCAAUGAACCAUGUAACAUUUCAACCUUUCAAAAAAAAACAUGUAAUAUUUCAACGAACCACGUAACCUUCUUUCUUAAUGAUACAUUCAACCCCUAUCGUCUUCAUCUCGCGCUGAUAGCAGCAACGGCAGUGGAGCAGACAAUGGGUUCGUGCCUGCCGUCGGUGUGUAGUGAUGGGGCGGUGGCGGUUGGCGUGGUUCGUCAGGGUGCGUGUGACACCGCGUGUGACGCCGCCCUGGCUAGGUGGCAGUGGACUAGGACAGCCAGCCAGUCGUGCACCACCAGACUCCCUGCAUUCCAGUCUCGGUCGCUUAUCCAGCUAUGCUGCUGCCGCUUUUUUUGUCCAUGCCCACAUGCAACAUUCCCACAUACAGGUAUCCAAAGGUUCGAAUAGAGAAGUCUUACCUGCCACACGACGAGGUAACAUACAUUCCCACCCAUCAUGCAUGAGAGAGAUAUGGAGCUCAACUCUUUCCUCUAUCAAUCUAUAUGCUUCUCCCGGUAAAUCCUUAGAUCUUAGAAUUUUGAGCCAAUGUUCCUUAAUGUUUUCAUAGAAGCUUCCCUUUGCAUAUAUGUCUAGAUUUGAAUGGAUUACCAGGCUUUCCUUUUUUGGAACCAUCCAUUCUUUUCUUUGGAUUUAAUGGCUAAUGUUAAGUUGGCUUAGAUUUUCAGAAUCGAACUUUAUAUAGGCAUGCCUUAGCCACAUCAGAUGCUUAAUGCUCGUCCUUGCUCAGAUCAUCAGAACCAGACUCAAUGCGUAAUGCUCAAGCUUGCUUUCACUGUCAAGAAUAACGAUAUCUCCAUGGCACACUGCCUCCUACUCAAUACACCAAAAUAAAGCAUCCAACAAAUUAGCCAAUUCAAAGGACUAAAAUGCAGUGGUCAAACUCAUGAAGCAAUUCGCCUAUGACUAAAUUGCAUCAGGACAAGCUGUGCAUUGUCAAUACCUUCUUUGGACAUUUCGAAUGGCUACCUACAGGAAGGGUUUGUUUCUCGGUCAAUAUUUCCUGUAACUGGCCGGUUUCCACUUCUUUCGGCCCCUCAUGAUAAAUGAGCACUGACUAACAAAAAAAAUCAGAUUUUGAGAAUUAUUGUUGUUGUUUUAAGUGCAUGUCCCCAAAAUGAUAAAGGUCGAUCGGUAAGUGACAUUAUUGACCUCACCAUGUCUAACAAGGUUUGGUUAAGCCUCUCAGAUACUUCAUUUCUCUAUGGAGUUUCAGGAGGAGUAAGUUGUGAUACAAUUCCACAAUCACUCAGAUGUUCGCUAAACUCAUGACUCGGAUAUUCUCCUCCAUGAUCUAAUUGUAGAAAUUUUAUAUUUUUGCCACGAUGAUUCUUAACUUUGUUAUGAAAUUCUUUGAACUUUUUAAAUGUUUCAGGCUUAUGUUUCAUCAAGUAAAUGUAAUCAUGUCUACUCAAAUCACCAAUGAAGGUUAUGAAGUAUAAGUAUCCACCCUGUGCAGGUGUGUGCAUCAGACCGCAUACAUCACUAUGUAUUAUCUUCAAUAAUUCACCUGCCUAUUCACGAUGACCUGUGAAUGGCGUCUUAGUCAUUUUACCCAUCAGACAAGCCUCGCAUGUGUCAAAUGAUUCAAAAUCAAAAGAUGGUAACACUCCAUCCUUAUGAAGUUUUUGCAUA